GCCCGGCUAGCUCAGUCGGUAGAGCAUCAGACUUUUAAUCUGAGGGUCAUGGGUUCGAGUCCCAUGUUGGGCG
This 73-nucleotide transfer RNA is filed under the name Mercenaria mercenaria. Its description in RNAcentral is "transfer RNA lysine (anticodon UUU)". It matches the Rfam family "tRNA". Rfam says of the family: Transfer RNA (tRNA) molecules are approximately 80 nucleotides in length. Their secondary structure includes four short double-helical elements and three loops (D, anti-codon, and T loops). Further hydrogen bonds mediate the characteristic L-shaped molecular structure. tRNAs have two regions of fundamental functional importance: the anti-codon, which is responsible for specific mRNA codon recognition, and the 3' end, to which the tRNAs corresponding amino acid is attached (by aminoacyl-tRNA synthetases). tRNAs cope with the degeneracy of the genetic code in two manners: having more than one tRNA (with a specific anti-codon) for a particular amino acid; and 'wobble' base-pairing, i.e. permitting non-standard base-pairing at the 3rd anti-codon position. Lineage: Eukaryota; Metazoa; Mollusca; Bivalvia; Venerida; Veneridae. The record is from RNAcentral.